UACGGAGGGUGCGAGCGUUGUCCGGAAUCAUUGGGCGUAAAGAGCUCGUAGGCGGCUAUUCAAGUCGAACGUGAAAUCUCGGGGCUCAACUCCGAGCCUGCGUUCGAUACUGGGUAGCUAGAGUCUGGUAGGGGGAUCUGGAAUUCCUGGUGUAGCGGUGGAAUGCGCAGAUAUCAGGAGGAACACCGGUGGCGAAGGCGGGAUCCUGGGCCAGUACUGACGCUGAGGAGCGAAAGCGUGGGGAGCAAACAGG
Molecule: ribosomal RNA, 253 nt
Filed under: uncultured bacterium
Lineage: Bacteria
Description: partial 16S ribosomal RNA
Rfam family: Bacterial small subunit ribosomal RNA
Source: RNAcentral